RNAcentral lists this ribosomal RNA (460 nucleotides) under uncultured bacterium. RNAcentral describes it as "partial 16S ribosomal RNA". It matches the Rfam family "Bacterial small subunit ribosomal RNA", at positions 338 to 795 of the family's 1533-position model. The record is from RNAcentral.
CCUACAGGUGGCAGCAGUGAGGAAUAUUGCUCACUGGGCUUACGCCUGAACCAGCCAAGUCGCGUGAGGGAAGACUGCCCUAUGGGUUGUAACCCUCUUUUGUCAUGGAGCAAUUGGCGCUACGUGUAUCGUUAUCGAGAGUACCUGACGCACCCGCCUCGGCUAACUCCGUGCCAGCACCCGCGGUAUUCCGGAGGAUGCGUGCUUUAUCCGGAUUUAUUGGGUUUACAGGGUGCGUAGUCGGACUGCCAAGUCAGAGGGAACAUCGCGGGUGUAAACCCCGCUCUGCCGUUGAAACUGGCGGUCUUGAGUGGGCGAGAAGUAGGCGGAAUGCGUGGUGUAGCGGUGAAAUGCAUAGAUAUCACGCAGAACGCCGAUUGCGAAGGCAGCAUACCGGCGCCCAACUGACGCUGAAGCACGAAAGCGUGGGGAUCGAACAGGAUUAGAUACCCUUGUAGUC